GACGAACGCUGGCGGCGUGCUUAACACAUGCAAGUCGAACGGAAAGGCCCUGCUUUUGUGGGGUGCUCGAGUGGCGAACGGGUGAGUAACACGUGAGUAACCUGCCCUUGACUUUGGGAUAACUUCAGGAAACUGGGGCUAAUACCGGAUAGGAGCUCCUGCUGCAUGGUGGGGGUUGGAAAGUUUCGGCGGUUGGGGAUGGACUCGCGGCUUAUCAGCUUGUUGGUGGGGUAGUGGCUUACCAAGGCUUUGACGGGUAGCCGGCCUGAGAGGGUGACCGGCCACAUUGGGACUGAGAUACGGCCCAGCCUCGUACGGGAGGCAGAAGUGGGGAAUAUUGCACAAUGGGCGGAAGCCUGAUGCAGCAACGCCGCGUGCGGGAUGACGGCCUUCGGGUUGUAAACCGCUUUCGCCUGUGACGAAGCGUGAGUGACGGUAAUGGGUAAAGAAGCACCGGCUAACUACGUG
Molecule: ribosomal RNA, 468 nt
Filed under: uncultured bacterium
Lineage: Bacteria
Description: partial 16S ribosomal RNA
Rfam family: Bacterial small subunit ribosomal RNA
Source: RNAcentral